CCUACGGGUGGCAGCAGUGGGGAAUAUUGCACAAUGGGGGAAACCCUGAUGCAGCGACGCCGCGUGAGCGAAGAAGUAUCUCGGUAUGUACAGCUCUAUCAGCAGGGAAGAAAAUGACGGUACCUGACUAAGAAGCCCCGGCUAACUACGUGCCAGCAGCCGCGGUAAUACGUAGGGGGCAAGCGUUAUCCGGAUUUACUGGGUGUAAAGGGAGCGUAGACGGCAGCACAAGUCUGGAGUGAAAUGCCGGGGCUUAACCCCGGAACUGCUUUGGAAACUGUGCAGCUAGAGUGCAGGAGAGGUAAGUGGAAUUCCUAGUGUAGCGGUGAAAUGCGUAGAUAUUAGGAGGAACACCAGUGGCGAAGGCGGCUUACUGGACUGUAACUGACGUUGAGGCUCGAAAGCGUGGGGAGCAAACAGGAUUAGAUACCCCUGUAGUC
Molecule: ribosomal RNA, 440 nt
Filed under: uncultured bacterium
Lineage: Bacteria
Description: partial 16S ribosomal RNA
Rfam family: Bacterial small subunit ribosomal RNA
Source: RNAcentral